This 445-nucleotide ribosomal RNA is filed under the name uncultured Gammaproteobacteria bacterium. Its description in RNAcentral is "bacterial SSU rRNA". It matches the Rfam family "Bacterial small subunit ribosomal RNA", at positions 30 to 505 of the family's 1533-position model. The record is from RNAcentral. Lineage: Bacteria; Pseudomonadati; Pseudomonadota; Gammaproteobacteria.
AUUGAACGCUGGCGGUAUGCUUAAGACAUGCAAGUCGAACGGUAACAGGCCCUUCGGGGUGCUGACGAGUGGCGGACGGGUGAGUAACGCGUGGGAAUCUACCUAGUAGCGGGGGAUAGCCCGAAGAAAUUCGGAUUAAUACCGCAUACGCCCUAAGGGGGAAAGGCUUCGGCCACUAUUAGAUGAGCCCGCGUUAGAUUAGCUAGAUGGUGAGGUAAAGGCUCACCAUGGCGACGAUCUAUAGCUGGUCUGAGAGGAUGAUCAGCCACAUUGGGACUGAGACACGGCCCAGACUCCUACGGGAGGCAGCAGUCGGGAAUAUUGGACAAUGGGCGAAAGCCUGAUCCAGCAAUACCGCGUGUGUGAAGAAGGCCUGCGGGUUGUAAAGCACUUUCAGCAGGGAAGAUAAUGACGUUACCUGCAAAAGAAGCACCGGCUAACUCCG